CAGGCCUAACACAUGCAAGUCGAGCGGACUUAUCCUUCGGGAUAGGUUAGCGGCGGACGGGUGAGUAACACGUAGGCAACCUGCCUGUAAGAUCGGGAUAACUACCGGAAACGGUAGCUAAGACCGGAUAGCUGGUUUCUCCGCAUGGGGGAAUCAUGAAACAUGGGGCAACCUAUGGCUUACGGAUGGGCCUGCGGCGCAUUAGCUAGUUGGUGGGGUAAUGGCCCACCAAGGCGACGAUGCGUAGCCGACCUGAGAGGGUGAUCGGCCACACUGGGACUGAGACACGGCCCAGACUCCUACGGGAGGCAGCAGUAGGGAAUCUUCCGCAAUGGGCGCAAGCCUGACGGAGCAACGCCGCGUGUGUGAUGAAGGUUUUCGGAUCGUAAAGCUCUGUUGCCAAGGAAGAACGCCUCGGAGAGUAACUGCUCUGAGGGUGACGGUACUUGAGAAGAAAGCCCCGGCUAACUACGUGCCAGCAGCCGCGGUAAUACGUAGGGGGCAAGCGUUGUCCGGAAUUAUUGGGCGUAAAGCGCGCGCAGGCGGUCUUUUAAGUUUGGUGUUUAAGCCCGGGGCUCAACCCCGGUUCGCACUGAAAACUGGGAGACUUGAGUGCAGGAGAGGAAAGCGGAAUUCCACGUGUAGCGGUGAAAUGCGUAGAGAUGUGGAGGAACACCAGUGGCGAAGGCGGCUUUCUGGACUGUAACUGACGCUGAGGCGCGAAAGCGUGGGGAGCAAACAGGAUUAGAU
This 750-nucleotide ribosomal RNA is filed under the name uncultured bacterium. RNAcentral describes it as "bacterial SSU rRNA". It matches the Rfam family "Bacterial small subunit ribosomal RNA", at positions 43 to 783 of the family's 1533-position model. The record is from RNAcentral.